GUGAGGAAUAUUGCGCAAUGGAGGCAACUCUGACGCAGCCAUGCCGCGUGCAGGAAGAAGGCGCUACGCGUUGUAAACUGCUUUUAACCGGGAAGAAACCCCAGGACGUGUCCUGGGUUGACGGUACCGGAGGAAUAAGCACCGGCUAACUUCGUACCAGCAGCCGCGGUAAUACGAAGGGUGCAAGCGUUAUCCGGAUUCAUUGGGUUUAAAGGGUGCGUAGGCGGGGCGUUAAGUCAGUGGUGAAAUCCUGCAGCUUAACUGUAGACUUGCCAUUGAUACUGGCGCUCUUGAGUGCGCUUGAAGUGGGCGGAAUGUGCCGUGUAGCGGUGAAAUGCUUAGAUAUGGCACAGAACACCAAUUGCGAAGGCAGCUCACUAAGGCGAUACUGACGCUGAGGCACGAAAGCGUGGGGAUCGAACAGGAUUAGAAACCCCAGUAGUCC
This 445-nucleotide ribosomal RNA is filed under the name uncultured bacterium. RNAcentral describes it as "partial 16S ribosomal RNA". It matches the Rfam family "Bacterial small subunit ribosomal RNA", at positions 354 to 796 of the family's 1533-position model. The record is from RNAcentral.